CCCUAGUAACGGCGAGUGAAGCGGCAACAGCUCAAAUUUGAAAUCUGGCGCAAGCCCGAGUUGUAAUUUGUAGAGGAUGUUUCUGGCGACGUGCCUUCCGAGUUCCCUGGAACGGGACGCCAUAGAGGGUGAGAGCCCCGUACGGUUGGAUGCCUAGCCUCUGUGAAACUCCUUCGACGAGUCGAGUAGUUUGGGAAUGCUGCUCUAAAUGGGAGGUAUACGUCUUCUAAAGCUAAAUACCGGCCAGAGACCGAUAGCGCACAAGUAGAGUGAUCGAAAGAUGAAAAGCACUUUGAAAAGAGGGUUAAAAAGUACGUGAAAUUGUUGAAAGGGAAGCGUUCAUGACCAGACUUGGGCAGGUUGAUCAUCCGUGGUUCUCCGCGGUGCACUCUGCCUGCCCAGGCCAGCAUCAGUUCGCCCCGGGGGAUAAAGGUUUCGGGAAUGUGGCUCCUCCGGGAGUGUUAUAGCCCGUUGCGUAAUACCCUGGGACGGACUGAGGUUCGCGCUCUGCAAGGAUGCUGGCGUAAUGGUCAUCAACGACCCGUCUUGAAACACGGACCAAGGAGUCGUCUUCGUAUGCGAGUGUUCGGGUGUCAAACCCCUACGCGUAAUGAAAGUGAACGUAGGAGAGAGCUUCGGCGCAUCUCCGACCGAUCCUGAUGUUCUCGGAUGGAUUUGAGUAAGAGCAUACGGGGCCGGACCCGAAAGAAGGUGAACUAUGCCUGUAUAGGGUGAAGCCAGAGGAAACUCUGGUGGAGGCUCGCAGCGGUUCUGACGUGCAAAUCGAUCGUCAAAUAUGGGCAUGGGGGGCGAA
RNAcentral lists this ribosomal RNA (814 nucleotides) under Clonostachys sp. RNAcentral's name for it is "partial large subunit ribosomal RNA". It matches the Rfam family "Eukaryotic large subunit ribosomal RNA", at positions 78 to 927 of the family's 3401-position model. Lineage: Eukaryota; Fungi; Ascomycota; Sordariomycetes; Hypocreales; Bionectriaceae. The record is from RNAcentral.